Long non-coding RNA from Oncorhynchus keta (chum salmon), 964 nucleotides. RefSeq lists it as uncharacterized. The transcript has 5 exons. The record is from RefSeq and is a predicted model, not a curated record. NCBI's taxonomy places the organism in Eukaryota, Metazoa, Chordata, Actinopteri, Salmoniformes, Salmonidae.
ACACAGUAACACAGUAACGCAGUAACACAGUAACACAGUAACACAGUAACGCAGUAAGGCAGUAACGCAGUAACGCAGUAACGCAGUAACACAGUAACGCAGUAACACAGUAACGCAGUAACACAGUAACGCAGUAACGCAGUAAGGCAGUAACACAGUAACGCAGUAACGCAGUAAGGCAGUAACGCAGUAACUCAGUAACGCAGUAACGCAGUAACGCAGUAACUCAGUAACGCAGUAACGCAGUAAGGCAGUAACGCAGUAACGCAGUAAGGCAGUAACACAGUAACGCAGUAACGCAGUAAGGCAGUAACGCAGUAACGCAGUAACGCAGUAAGGCAGUAACACAGUAACGCAGUAACACAGUAACGCAGUAACACAGUAACACAGUAACGCAGUAAGGCAGUAACCCAGUAACGCAGUAACGCAGCUCUAUGAGCUGAAGGUAGUACUGCGGAGGUGAUGUCCCACAACUUAAGUGUUAUCUUCUCCUGUACCUGUCUGGCAGGUAUGCCACGUGGGAGUUGGACAGGAAGGAUAUAUCAAUAUGAACAUGCUAGUGGCCACUCCGUUGGAGGAGAAAUUCCACGUGGUUGAAAUGAGGACCCACCACCCUACCAAGGGCUUCCGACUCCCGUUUCACGAAAAGGUCAUUAGCUGAAUAGAAAGGGGAGAUGGGAGACUUCGGCUCCCGUUUCACGAAAAGGUCAUUAGCUGAAUAGAAAGGGGAGAUGGGAGACUUCGGCUCCCGUUUCACGAAAAGGUCAUUAGCUGAAUAGAAAGGGGAGAUGGGAGACUUCGGCUCCCGUUUCACGAAAAGGUCAUUAGCUGAAUAGAAAGGGGAGAUGGGAGACUUCGGCUCCCGUUUCACGAAAAGGUCAUUAGCUGAAUAGAAAGGGGAGAUGGGAGACUUCGGCUCCCGUUUCACGAAAAGGUCAUUAGCUGAAUAGAAAGGGAGAUGGGA